AAAGCUUUACAUAAAUUGUGCGCAACAAAGUUUAGAGACCACAGUUUGGGAAGGUAAGAGAUCUUGAGACGAGGACGACUCUACAAAGCUACAGGAACACGUGUGAAGAAAGCUGCGAGACAUGAAGGGCAGGAUUUCUGUCCUCUUGUUUCUCACAGCGCUGUGUUCUAUUGCACAAUGCAGCUU
Long non-coding RNA from Gymnodraco acuticeps, 186 nucleotides. RefSeq lists it as uncharacterized. The record is from RefSeq and is a predicted model, not a curated record. Lineage: Eukaryota; Metazoa; Chordata; Actinopteri; Perciformes; Bathydraconidae. The transcript is spliced from 3 exons.